This 481-nucleotide unclassified non-coding RNA is filed under the name Meloidogyne chitwoodi. Its description in RNAcentral is "partial intergenic spacer". Lineage: Eukaryota; Metazoa; Nematoda; Chromadorea; Rhabditida; Meloidogynidae. The record is from RNAcentral.
UAAGGUUUUGAAUCUUAUAUGUAUAAGAAGUAUCUGAGGACAUUUUGUUGCAUUUUGUCUCAUCAAGGUGUAGUGACAUUUUGUCCCAUUAAGGUGUAGUGACAUUUUGUCCCAUUAGGGUGAGUGACAUUUUGUCCCAUUAGUGUGAGUGACAUUUUGUCCCAUUAGGGUGAGUGACAUUUUGUCCCAUUAAGGUGUAGUGACAUUUUGUCUCAUCAAGGUGUAGUGACAUUUUGUCCCAUUAGUGUGAGUGACAUUUUGUCCCAUUAAGGUGUAGUGACAUUAUUUCCCCUCUACCCCAACUGGCAUUAUUUCCCUUCAAGUUGUAGUGACAUUUUGUCCCUCCAACGUAUAGUGACAUUAUUUCCCCUCUACCCAAACUGGCAUUAUUUCCCCUGUGCUACACUGGCAUUAUUUCCCCAAAACCCCAACUGGCAUUAUGUCCUUUCAAUUACUUUAGAAAGAUGAAAUUUGAGUGAAA